ACUCCUACGGGAGGCAGCAGUGGGGAAUAUUGCACAAUGGGCGCAAGCCUGAUGCAGCCAUGCCGCGUGUAUGAAGAAGGCCUUCGGGUUGUAAAGUACUUUCAGCAGUGAGGAAGGUGGGUAUGUUAAUAGCAUAUUCAUUUGACGUUAGCUGCAGAAGAAGCACCGGCUAACUCCGUGCCAGCAGCCGCGGUAAUACGGAGGGUGCGAGCGUUAAUCGGAAUUACUGGGCGUAAAGCGCAUGCAGGUGGUUUGUUAAGUCAGAUGUGAAAGCCCGGGGCUCAACCUCGGAAUUGCAUUUGAAACUGGCAAACUAGAGUACUGUAGAGGGGGGUAGAAUUUCAGGUGUAGCGGUGAAAUGCGUAGAGAUCUGAAGGAAUACCGGUGGCGAAGGCGGCCCCCCUGGACAGAUACUGACACUCAGAUGCGAAAGCGUGGGGAGCAAACAGGAUUAGAACCCUGGUAGGCUCUGC
RNAcentral lists this ribosomal RNA (473 nucleotides) under uncultured bacterium. RNAcentral's name for it is "bacterial SSU rRNA". It matches the Rfam family "Bacterial small subunit ribosomal RNA", at positions 335 to 800 of the family's 1533-position model. The record is from RNAcentral.